This 848-nucleotide ribosomal RNA is filed under the name uncultured marine bacterium. RNAcentral's name for it is "bacterial SSU rRNA". It matches the Rfam family "Bacterial small subunit ribosomal RNA", at positions 20 to 905 of the family's 1533-position model. The record is from RNAcentral.
UGGCUCAGAACGAACGCUGGCGGCAGGCCUAACACAUGCAAGUCGAACGAGAACGGCACUUCGGUGCUUAGUAGAGUGGCGCACGGGUGAGUAACGCGUGGGAAUCUACCUGAUAGUACGGAAUAGCCCCGGGAAACUGGGAUUAAUACCGUAUGCGCCCUACGGGGGAAAGAUUUAUCGCUAUCAGAUGAGCCCGCGUGACAUUAGCUAGUUGGUGAGGUAACGGCUUACCAAGGCUACGAUGUCUAGCUGGUCUAAGAGGAUGAUCAGCCACACUGGAACUGAGACACGGUCCAGACUCCUACGGGAGGCAGCAGUGGGGAAUAUUGGGCAAUGGGCGAAAGCCUGACCCAGCCAUGCCGCGUGAGUGAUGAAGGCCCUAGGGUUGUAAAGCUCUUUCACUAGUGAGGAUAAUGACGGUAACUAGAGAAGAAACCCCGGCUAACUCCGUGCCAGCAGCCGCGGUAAUACGGAGGGGGUUAGCGUUGUUCGGAAUUACUGGGCGUAAAGCGCACGUAGGCGGAUUAUUAAGUUAGAGGUGAAAUCCCGGGGCUCAACCCCGGAACUGCCUUUAAUACUGGUAGUCUAGAGUUCGAGAGAGGUGAGUGGAAUUCCGAGUGUAGAGGUGAAAUUCGUAGAUAUUCGGAGGAACACCAGUGGCGAAGGCGGCUCACUGGCUCGAUACUGACGCUGAGGUGCGAAAGUGUGGAGAGCAAACAGGAUUAGAUACCCUGGUAGUCCACACCGUAAACGAUGAAUGCCAGACGUCAGGCUGCUUGCAGCUUGGUGUCACACCUAACGGAUUAAGCAUUCCGCCUGGGGAGUACGGUCGCAGAUUAAAACUCAAA